Homo sapiens (human) is the source of this 254-nucleotide unclassified non-coding RNA. It matches the Rfam family "Metazoan signal recognition particle RNA". Rfam says of the family: The signal recognition particle (SRP) is a universally conserved ribonucleoprotein. It is involved in the co-translational targeting of proteins to membranes. The eukaryotic SRP consists of a 300-nucleotide 7S RNA and six proteins: SRPs 72, 68, 54, 19, 14, and 9. Lineage: Eukaryota; Metazoa; Chordata; Mammalia; Primates; Hominidae. The record is from Ensembl.
GCUGGGUGGGGUGGCUCACACCUGUAAUCCCAGCACUUUGGGAGGCCAAGGUGGGCGGAUCACCUGAGGUCAGGAGUUCGAGAUCAGCCUGACCAACAUGGUGAAACCCUGUCUCUACUUUAAAAAUACAAAAAUUAGGCCAGGAGCAGUGGCUCACACCUGUAAUCCCAGCACUUUGGGAGGCCAAGGCAGGUGGAUCACCUGAGAUCAGGAGUUCAAGACCAGCCUGACCAACAUGGAGAAACCCCAUCUCU